This 254-nucleotide ribosomal RNA is filed under the name uncultured bacterium. RNAcentral's name for it is "partial 16S ribosomal RNA". It matches the Rfam family "Bacterial small subunit ribosomal RNA", at positions 524 to 776 of the family's 1533-position model. The record is from RNAcentral.
GACAUAGGUGGCGAACGUUAUCCGGAAUUAUUGGGCGUAAAGAGUGCGUAGGUGGUUUAAUAAGUUACUGGUGGGAAAUCGGGGCCCAACCCCGUGGAAGUCAGUAAUACUAUUAAACUAGAGGGUUGGAGAGGUUAACGGAAUUCUAUGUGUAGCGGUAAAAUGCGUAAAUAUAUAGAGGAACACCAAACGGCGAAGGCAGUUAACUAUUCAAUUCCUGACGUUGAGGCACGAAAGCGUGGGGAGCAAGACGG